GAUGAACGCUGGCGGCGUGCCUAAUACAUGCAAGUCGAACGCAUUGUGGUUGAAAUGAUAUGAAGAACUUGUUCAGAUUUGAUUUUCAACAUUGCAAUGAGUGGCGAACGGGUGAGUAACACGUGGGAAACCUACCUCUUAGCAGGGGAUAACAUUUGGAAACAAAUGCUAAUACCGUAUAAUAAUUAAAACCGCAUGGUUUUAGUUUAAAAGAUGGUCUUGCUAUCACUAAGAGAUGGUCCCGCGGUGUAUUAGUUAGUUGGUGAGGUAAUGGCUCACCAAGACAAUGAUACAUAGCCGAGUUGAGAGACUGACCGGCCACAAUGGGACUGAGACACGGCCCAUACUCCUACGGGAGCAGCAGUAGGGAAUCUUCCACAAUGGACGAAAGUCUGAUGGAGCAACGCCGCGUGUGUGAUGAAGGGUUUCGGCUCGUAAACACUGUUGUAAGAGAAGAAUGACAUUGAGAGUAACUGUUCAAUGUGUGACGGUAUCUU
This 497-nucleotide ribosomal RNA is filed under the name uncultured bacterium. RNAcentral describes it as "bacterial SSU rRNA". It matches the Rfam family "Bacterial small subunit ribosomal RNA", at positions 28 to 481 of the family's 1533-position model. The record is from RNAcentral.